AUGGUUGGCGGCGGCGGGUUCCUCUGCGCGCCCUCCGUGCCCCUACGUGGAUCUCACCUCGCCAUGUCGGGUAUGCGCUGCCGCUUGACCUGUGCUACCGCCAUCUCGGCGUGCCUCCCCAGCCAUGAGCCGCUGGACGCCUUGGCUUUGGUCCUUUGUGUUGUUGCUGGCGGAGCUACGUGUCCCCGCUCUAGCCCUGGUCCUUCACCGGUGUGCACCUCCGUGCAUGUUUUGCCCAGAUCUGAUACACCGGUGUGGAGCAGAUGGUCCACUGCAAUCCUGUGCACUCGAACGCGAAUCCGGCAUCCGGCACAAAUCCGCCUUCCGACGCUAUGGUCUACUGGGCCAAUUGGAUUGGAGAGGGCUCUCGUUGGUGAGGUGGUGAGUGUUGCGUCAUUGGUGUUGAUUACACCGGUCUGCAGCGGCGGCUUCGCCACAGAUUGCAAUGACCACCGAAAGAUCUUCACGAGGAUUUUUUUUUCUCUCCCUAGAACCGGUGGUUACAUUCUGUCGCUGUUGCUAAAAGUGUUCCUCUGA
RNAcentral lists this ribosomal RNA (537 nucleotides) under Triticum aestivum (bread wheat). RNAcentral's name for it is "partial small subunit ribosomal RNA". Lineage: Eukaryota; Viridiplantae; Streptophyta; Magnoliopsida; Poales; Poaceae. The record is from RNAcentral.